AACACUUUCGCUUUCGCGCACCCCGGCACCCUUAACCUUUUUUUCCUAGUUUUUAGUCAUUCUGUAGUCAAAAUUCGUAUAUAGUGGCCUGAAAACCCUUUAUGUUCAACGCACAUAAAGGGUUUAUAUUCUGGUCUGGUUUAGCUGGCUUAUAACGUUGUUGGCGUGGAGGCUGAACAACGUUAUGAGCCAGCUAAACCUGGCCGGAAACGAUAUUUUCAGUAGCAGUUCGCUUGCUUUUUUCGUAAUGCACUGAAGCAUGUAACCAUUACUAGAUUGACUAUUAGUGACCUUUGCUACAAUUUCAUUACGAUGCCUGUUGUUGAGCCAGGUUUAAAUUCCCAUGCUAGAUGUCGAUCCUAGCCUUUAAUGUGUUACCUGCCUACCGUACAAUAAACAAUAAACAAUAAGCAACGCAAAGCAAAGCAGAUCAACCGUCUUAAAAAUUUUGCCUGGAAAUACCAAUUUCCCGGAAGAUCACCGAGUACAUCAACGGACAUCAGCUGCUACCGGAAAAGUCAGUGAAACAUCUCGGAGUGAUACUGGAUGACAUCUCAGUUGGACUGACCAUGUCCAUAAAAGUCCAAUAGAGUUUUCGUCGCAUCUGAACUACUGCUAUACAGUGUGGAGCGGGGCAUCUGUGCGCUUGCGGGAUAAAUUGGCCGCGAUGCAUCGAAACGGUCUCCGAGCGGCUGCAAACUACGCAAAGAUACCCACGGAAUCGUUCAUGAAACAACAUGGGAUCUUGCCGCUCUUCACGAGAUGGAAACAAAAGGAAGCGAUAUGGUUAUACAAGAUCAAACAUCCGGAAAAAUUCCAUGUGUCGCAGUACAUCAGCGAGAUGGUGGAAUUUGACGACCGUAUCAAGCCGUACAACCUUCGGAAUAGAAACCGCAUCCAUAUAAAGGCGGAAGCGAAGAAGGAAGUUGGCGAGACGACCUUUGCUUGGAAGGUUAAUAAAUUGUGGACAUUUUUUGUUAAUUCUAAUUCCUCUGAUCUGUUCGAUAUUCGCACUAUUGGUGCUUUUAAGCAAGCUUUGAACCGUGUCAAUUUUGUUUGAGUCCUUUUCUGUCUAUCUGUACUCGUACUUUUAGAUUUUACUGUUUGGCCAGGUUCAAAAUCCCAUCUGGUAUGUCACCCUAGCCGGAAAUGGGCUACCUGCUCCACGAUGAAUAAUAAUAAUAGUACGGUUUUUA
This is a long non-coding RNA of Paramacrobiotus metropolitanus, 1196 nucleotides long. RefSeq lists it as uncharacterized. The transcript has 2 exons. The record is from RefSeq and is a predicted model, not a curated record. NCBI's taxonomy places the organism in Eukaryota, Metazoa, Tardigrada, Eutardigrada, Parachela, Macrobiotidae.